This 429-nucleotide ribosomal RNA is filed under the name Bacteroidota bacterium. RNAcentral describes it as "Bacteroidetes bacterium partial 16S ribosomal RNA". It matches the Rfam family "Bacterial small subunit ribosomal RNA", at positions 355 to 776 of the family's 1533-position model. Lineage: Bacteria; Pseudomonadati; Bacteroidota. The record is from RNAcentral.
UAGGGAAUCUUCCGCAAUGGACGCAAGUCUGACGGAGCAACGCCGCGUGAGUGAAGAAGGAUUUCGGUUCGUAAAACUCUGUUGUUAGAGAAGAACAGCGCAUAGAGUAACUGUUAUGCGUGUGACGGUAUCUAACCAGAAAGCCACGGCUAACUACGUGCCAGCAGCCGCGGUAAUACGUAGGUGGCAAGCGUUGUCCGGAUUUAUUGGGCGUAAAGCGAGCGCAGGCGGUCAAUUAAGUCUGAUGUGAAAGCCCCCGGCUCAACCGGGGAGGGUCAUUGGAAACUGGGUGACUUGAGUGCAGAAGAGGAGAGUGCAAUUCCAUGUGUAGCGGUGAAAUGCGUAGAUAUAUGGAGGAACACCAGUGGCGAAGGCGACUCUCUGGUCUGUAACUGACGCUGAGGUUCGAAAGCGUGGGUAGCAAACAGG